AUCGCUUCUCGGCCUUUUGGCUAAGAUCAAGUGUAGUAUCUGUUCUUAUCAGAAAAAAAAUAUGGAAGAGUGGCUAUGUGGAGAUAACCAGCAUUGUCUACUAUAGCAGUGUGUAUCAUUGAUAAGCAUAGUUAGAGUGUUUGUUAGCUAAGUCUGCUAGAGGUGGUAGUCAUCAACCCAUU
This is a small nuclear RNA of Oryctolagus cuniculus (rabbit), 182 nucleotides long. Its record names the gene U2. It matches the Rfam family "U2 spliceosomal RNA". Rfam says of the family: U2 is a small nuclear RNA (snRNA) component of the spliceosome (involved in pre-mRNA splicing). Complementary binding between U2 snRNA (in an area lying towards the 5' end but 3' to hairpin I) and the branchpoint sequence (BPS) of the intron results the bulging out of an unpaired adenosine, on the BPS, which initiates a nucleophilic attack at the intronic 5' splice site, thus starting the first of two transesterification reactions that mediate splicing. Lineage: Eukaryota; Metazoa; Chordata; Mammalia; Lagomorpha; Leporidae. The record is from Ensembl.